GACUCAACACGGGAAAUCUUACCGGGUCCGGACAUACCGAGGAUUGACAGACUGUUAACUGCAACACAUGCUGCUAAGUUUUAAACUUAAUAGCUCUUUCAUGAUUAUAUGAUAGGUGGUGCAUGGCCGUUCUUAGUUCGUGGAGUGAUCUGUCUGCUUAAUUGCGUUUCAAAAUCUAAACCUGAGCGACAAGGUGCUGCUAUCGAAACUGUCUUUGAGUGUGAACUAUAAGUCUUUUGACUUAUGACCAUCACUCUAGACGUUUAUGUUUUGGUGUUGGCCCUUGAUGCUCAUUUGAACGCAACGGACGUGAUUGCAACCCCUUGUUGAGAUUUAUCCGAUCUCUACGUUCACUGAACCACACUCUUUAGCGAGAGCAGUGGGGAUGUGGAUAAACUCGGGGGACUGCUGACUAUAAACUUUUCUCAAACCAGAGGAAGGUUGCGGCAAUAACAGGUCUGUGAUGCA
RNAcentral lists this ribosomal RNA (468 nucleotides) under Globigerinoides elongatus. Its description in RNAcentral is "SSU rRNA". It matches the Rfam family "Eukaryotic small subunit ribosomal RNA", at positions 1197 to 1471 of the family's 1831-position model. The record is from RNAcentral. Lineage: Eukaryota; Foraminifera; Rotaliida; Globigerinidae.